This 636-nucleotide ribosomal RNA is filed under the name Triticum aestivum (bread wheat). RNAcentral's name for it is "partial small subunit ribosomal RNA". Lineage: Eukaryota; Viridiplantae; Streptophyta; Magnoliopsida; Poales; Poaceae. The record is from RNAcentral.
AUGUCAUACAUCCGUAAUGACCUUCUUGACGCCAUGGAUUUGGGCUCAAGCUCCGCUGCCGUUCAUGGCCGAAGUCCACUGAGGAGGGGAGACCCUGGUAGUAGUGGACCGGUGCUGCAACGGUACUACAACCCUGGUGUGGUCUUCCAAGAUGCAGCACGGCAUGGCCGGGAUGAAAUUGAUCUGAAUGUUGCUGUUGAGCCAUCAAUUUUCCUUGACGAUGAUAUGCAAAAUGUUGCGCAUGAAGACGAAGAAUAUGGAAUUGAUCUGAAUGAUACUCCCCAAAAUGAUAGUGACGAUUCGUUGCAGCUGAACACCGAUGGUGUAGCUCCAAAUCAUGGCAAUGCCCGUGUGGCUAGUGACAAUUCCAAUGGAAAUGCUGCAACACUUGUUGAUGAACCGGAUGAAGAUAUAUCAUCACAGCCAGUUGUCCCUUUUGUUGGAAUGGUUUUUGACAAUGUUGAAGAAGCUCAGCGUGUUUACAAUGAAUAUGCCUCAAAGAUGGGCUUUGGUACUCGCAUUGUGACAUCAAAACAUAGUAGGAAAAGCAGCUCGGAUCCGAAGCGCAUUCUUAUCUAUAGAGUUUUUGAGUGCAUACACUCACGAAAAAAAUCCUUCGAAGAAUGUUGGUGGUAG